This 665-nucleotide ribosomal RNA is filed under the name uncultured bacterium. Its description in RNAcentral is "bacterial SSU rRNA". It matches the Rfam family "Bacterial small subunit ribosomal RNA", at positions 484 to 1149 of the family's 1533-position model. The record is from RNAcentral.
GAAUCAGCAUCGGCUAACUCCGUGCCAGCAGCCGCGGUAAUACGGAGGAUGCAAGCGUUAUCCGGAAUUAUUGGGCGUAAAGGGUCCGCAGGUGGCGUAUCAAGUCAGUUGUUAAAGGCCGGGGCUUAACCCUGGAUGAGCAGUUGAAACUGGUAGGCUAGAGUACGGUAGGGGUAGAGGGAAUUCCUAGUGUAGCGGUGAAAUGCGUAGAUAUUAGGAAGAACACCAGUGGCGAAGGCGCUCUACUGGGCCUGUACUGACACUGAGGGACGAAAGCUAGGGGAGCGAAAGGGAUUAGAUACCCCUGUAGUCCUAGCUGUAAACUAUGGAUACUAGGUGUUGCACGUAUCGACCCGUGCAGUAUCGUAGCCAACGCGUUAAGUAUCCCGCCUGGGGAGUACGCACGCAAGUGUGAAACUCAAAGGAAUUGACGGGGGCCCGCACAAGCGGUGGAGUAUGUGGUUUAAUUCGAUGCAACGCGAAGAACCUUACCAGGGAUUGACAUCCUUCGAAUUCCGAUGAAAGUUGGAAGUGCCUUCGGGAGCGAAGAGACAGGUGGUGCAUGGCUGUCGUCAGCUCGUGUCGUGAGAUGUUGGGUUAAGUCCCGCAACGAGCGCAACCCACGUUUUUAGUUGCCAUCAUUAAGUUGGGCACUCUAGAGAGAC